This 253-nucleotide ribosomal RNA is filed under the name uncultured bacterium. RNAcentral describes it as "partial 16S ribosomal RNA". It matches the Rfam family "Bacterial small subunit ribosomal RNA", at positions 524 to 776 of the family's 1533-position model. The record is from RNAcentral.
UACGAAGGGGGCUAGCGUUGUUCGGAAUUACUGGGCGUAAAGCGCACGUAGGCGGACUAUUAAGUCAGGGGUGAAAUCCCGGGGCUCAACCCCGGAACUGCCUUUGAUACUGGUAGUCUCGAGUCCGGAAGAGGUGAGUGGAAUUCCGAGUGUAGAGGUGAAAUUCGUAGAUACUCGGAGGAACACCAGUGGCGAAGGCGGCUCACUGGUCCGGUACUGACGCUGAGGUGCGAAAGCGUGGGGAGCAAACAGG